RNAcentral lists this ribosomal RNA (403 nucleotides) under uncultured bacterium. RNAcentral's name for it is "partial 16S ribosomal RNA". It matches the Rfam family "Bacterial small subunit ribosomal RNA", at positions 28 to 526 of the family's 1533-position model. The record is from RNAcentral.
GACGAACGCUGGCGGCGUGCCUAAUACAUGCAAGUCGAACGCAGUGGGGACGGGUGAGUAACACGUGUGUACCCUCCCAUCAGAGAGGAUAACACUUGGGAACAGGUGCUAAACCCAUACUGAUGGAUGGACCCGCGGUACAUUGGCUAGUUGGUGAGGUACCGGCUCACCAAGGCAACGAUGCAUAGCGGACAGGAAAGGGAGAUCGGCCACACUGGGACUGAGACACGGCCCAGACUCCUACGGGAGGCAGCAGUAGGGAAUCGUCGGCAAUGGACGAAAGGCUGACCGAGCAACGCCGCGUGAGUGAAGAAGGUGUGCGGAUCGUAAAACUCUGUUGUUAGAGAAGCGGUAUCUAACAAGAAAGCCACGGCUAACUACGUGCCAGCAGCCGCGGUAAUUC